GAUGAACGCUGGCGGCGUGCUUAACACAUGCAAGUCGAACGAAGCACUUUAUUUGAUUUCCUUCGGGACUGAUUAUUUUGUGACUGAGUGGCGGACGGGUGAGUAACGCGUGGGUAACCUGCCUUGUACAGGGGGAUAACAGUUGGAAACGGCUGCUAAUACCGCAUAAGCGCACAGCAUCGCAUGAUGCAGUGGGAAAAACUCCGGUGGUAUAAGAUGGACCCGCGUUGGAUUAGCUAGUUGGUGAGGUAACGGCCCACCAAGGCGACGAUCCAUAGCCGACCUGAGAGGGUGACCGGCCACAUUGGGACUGAGACACGGCCCAAACUCCUACGGGAGGCAGCAGUGGGGAAUAUUGCACAAUGGGCGAAAGCCUGAUGCAGCGACGCCGCGUGAGCGAAGAAGUAUUUCGGUAUGUAAAGCUCUAUCAGCAGGGAAGAUAAUGACGGUACCUGACGAAGAAGCACCGGCUAAAUACGUG
This 481-nucleotide ribosomal RNA is filed under the name uncultured bacterium. Its description in RNAcentral is "partial 16S ribosomal RNA". It matches the Rfam family "Bacterial small subunit ribosomal RNA", at positions 28 to 507 of the family's 1533-position model. The record is from RNAcentral.